UUGACGAGGAGUACCUCGAGGUUUGUAAAGCCCUUUCUAGGAGGAGGAGGGUACUUUAGUUAAUACCUAGAGAUACCCGUACGUUACUCGCAGAAUAACCGCCGUCUAGCUCUACGCCAGCAGCCGGGGUAAUACAGACGGUGCGACUGCUAAUCGGAUUUACUGGGCGUAAAGCGUGCGUACCGGCUUAUUAAGUCGGAUGUGAAAUCCCCGAGCUUAACUUGGGAAUUGCAUUCGAUACUGGUGAGCUAGAGUAUGGGAGAGGAUGGUAGAAUUCCAGGUGUAGCGGUGAAAUGCGUAGAGAUCUGGAGGAAUACCGAUGGCGAAGGCAGCCAUCUGGCCUAAUACUGACGCUGAGGUACGAAAGCAUGGGGAGCAAACAGGAUUAGAUACCCUGGUAGUCCAUGCCGUAAACGAUGUCUACUAGCCGUUGGGGCCUUUGAGGCUCUAGUGGCGCAGCUAACGCGAUAAGUAGACCGCCUGGGGAGUACGGUCGCAAGACUAGAACUCAAAUGAAUUGACGGGGGCCCGCACAAGCGGUGGAGCAUGUGGUUUAAUUCGAUGCAACGCGAAGAACCUUACCUGGCCUUGACAUACUACAAACUUUCCAGAGAUGGAUUGGUGCCUUCGGGAAUCUAGAUACAGGUGCUGCAUGAUCUUCGUCAGCAGC
RNAcentral lists this ribosomal RNA (670 nucleotides) under Acinetobacter baumannii. Its description in RNAcentral is "bacterial SSU rRNA". It matches the Rfam family "Bacterial small subunit ribosomal RNA", at positions 401 to 1062 of the family's 1533-position model. The record is from RNAcentral. Lineage: Bacteria; Pseudomonadati; Pseudomonadota; Gammaproteobacteria; Moraxellales; Moraxellaceae.